AGAGUUUGAUCCUGGCUCAGAACGAACGCUGGCGGCAGGCCUUAAUACAUGCAAGUCGAACGCCCCUUCGGGGGAGUGGCGCACGGGUGAGUAACGCGUGGGAAUGUGCCCUUGGGUACGGAACAACACCGGGAAACUGGUGCUAAUACCGUAUAAUGACUUCGGUCCAAAGAUUUAUCGCCCAGGGAUCAGCCCGCGUUGGAUUAGCUAAUUGGUGAGUAACGGCUCACCAAGGCGACGAUCUAUAGCUGGUCUAAGAGGAUGAUCAGCCACACUGGAACUGAGACACGGUCCAGACUCCUACGGGAGGCAGCAGUAAGGAAUAUUGGACAAUGGGGGAAACCCUGAUCCAGCCAUGCCGCGUGAAUGAAGAAGGCCUUAGGGUUGUAAAGUUCUUUUAGUGGUGACGAUAAUGACGGUAGCCACAGAAAAAGCUCCGGCUAACUCCGUGCCAGCAGCCGCGGUAAUACGGAGGGAGCGAGCGUUGUUCGGAAUUACUGGGCGUAAAGGGUGCGCAGGCGGCUUUGCAAGUCGGGAGUGAAAUCCCAGGGCUUAACCCUGGAAUUGCUUUCGAAACUGCAAAGCUCGAGUCCCGGAGAGGUUAGCGGAAUUCCUAGUGUAGAGGUGAAAUUCGUAGAUAUUAGGAGGAACACCAGUGGCGUAAGCGGCUAACUAGACGAGUACUGACGCUCAAGCACGAAAGCGUGGGGAUCAAACAGGAUUAGAUACCCUGGUAGUCCACGCCGUAAACGAUGUGUGCUAGCUGCUGGACGGUUUACCGUUCAGUGGCGCAGCUAACGCACUAAGCACACCGCCUGGGGAGUACGGUCGCAAGAUUAAACUCAAAGGAAUUGACGG
RNAcentral lists this ribosomal RNA (858 nucleotides) under uncultured bacterium. RNAcentral's name for it is "bacterial SSU rRNA". It matches the Rfam family "Bacterial small subunit ribosomal RNA", at positions 8 to 916 of the family's 1533-position model. The record is from RNAcentral.